GUACUGUAGAGAUGCCAUAGUAAAAAGGGUGGUAGGGAGAAGAGUUUAUAGAUACAUAAGCAGGUAUGUGGAGACGAGUGUUUAACUGAUCUAGCUGCUAGUGGAAAUGUCAAGAGCUCCUACUUCUGUCCUGGCCUGUUCUGUCUACACAUUUGGCAGGUUUUAACUGAUAGAAUCUCAAUUCAGCCAGAAAGAAUACAAACGAGCUGCUCCUUCAUAUAAGGUUCUUGUAGACUGAUGGAGUGGAGAGCUGACUAAUCUCACUUGAAAACGUUUAGAAAAGAA
RNAcentral lists this long non-coding RNA (285 nucleotides) under Phasianus colchicus (ring-necked pheasant). Its description in RNAcentral is "lncRNA (ENSPCLG00000008917.1)". Lineage: Eukaryota; Metazoa; Chordata; Aves; Galliformes; Phasianidae. The record is from RNAcentral.